Molecule: small RNA, 337 nt
Filed under: Oryza sativa Japonica Group (Japanese rice)
Lineage: Eukaryota; Viridiplantae; Streptophyta; Magnoliopsida; Poales; Poaceae
Description: sRNA Os10g0363650
Source: RNAcentral
ACGGACUUAUUCCGCGACAGCACGGGAAUUACUUUUUUUGUAAUGUAAAUAUCAGUAGAAUCUCAGCAUGUGGAAUAUCAGUUGUAGAGUUGUGUGUGUGUCAUAUACAUAAAAUGUAACAUCUUGUACAAGCCCCUUCAUGUUCAGAAAACAUUCUUGUUAAUCUAACUGUUAUUAUAUGCCAAAAAACCAGCAGCCUUUUCCAGAGUGUAUUCACAUCUGUUGUUGACUGUAUCGCACAGUUUUUUUAGGGUGUUUUCAGCAAUAGACUUGUUGUACAGACCUUGUUUUGCUGUUGUUAAUUUAAUGGCUAAUACAAGAAAGAAGCUUCUAAUUA